Molecule: ribosomal RNA, 292 nt
Filed under: uncultured bacterium
Lineage: Bacteria
Description: partial 16S ribosomal RNA
Source: RNAcentral
GGACUACCGGGGUAUCUAAUCCUGUUUGCUCCCCACGCUUUCGUGCCUGAAUGUCGGUGCUGGACCAGGAAGCCGCUUUCGCCACUGGUGUUCCUUCCGAUAUCUACGCAUUUCACCGCUACACCGGAAAUUCCGCUUCCCUCUUCCGCACCCUAGCUCGACAGUCUCGAAUGCAAUUCCCAGGUUGAGCCCGGGGCUUUCACACCCGACUUAUCGAACCAUCUGCGCACGCUUUACGCCCAGUAAUUCCGAUUAACGCUUGCACCCUCUGUAUUACCGCGGCUGCUGGCAC